RNAcentral lists this long non-coding RNA (522 nucleotides) under Androctonus crassicauda. Lineage: Eukaryota; Metazoa; Arthropoda; Arachnida; Scorpiones; Buthidae. The record is from RNAcentral.
CAUAUAUAAAAAACAUUUACAUUGUUAACUUGCUUUUUCAUGUGUUUGCUACCUGAAUACAGGCAUUUAUUAUAGUGGGGAAUGAGCUUCUCAAUUCCCUAGUCAAAGAAAUCAAUUAUAUCUGUACUUCAGUUUUCAUCUGUCAUCACCUUUAGUUUUUGUGUGUUGGAAAAGGUGAUAAUGGCUUCAAGCAAGGUUGGAACUAUAUGACAUGUGAUCAGACAAAUUCUAGUUUAAACAUUUCUUGAAUACUAGUCAUAGUAUAUGCACUCAAAUUAUGCAGAAAGAUGCAGGUUUGAUAACAAUGACCUGUACACACUGUUACCAAAAUUUUUUCUCAAACUUUUGCAUCCACUUUCUGUACAAGAUAAUCAGUCACAAUUGAUGGCUAGCCAGAUCACUCUUAGUCAUAUUUGUUUGGCCAUUUUGAAACAUUUUACAUUACUGUCUUACACCUCUUUCGGUCCAUACCUUGCAUUGUUGUCAAUGAAUCUCAAUAGCAUUUGUGUGUUAUGCAUGGAU